AUUUGUGCUGGCUUACCUCAUCCUUAUAACUACAGCUUGUUCCCCAGAGAUGUUGAAAUAUGCAUUUUAACUUGAAGUCACCUGUGAAGCAUGAGGUUGAGACUACCUUGAAAGUCAACAAGCAAGGUGUUCUCAGCUUUCUGGGAAGAUACCAGGACAAAUCCAGUGACAUAGACUUCAGACAUCUUUUACAUGUGAAUAUGAUGCACUCAUUCCAGCUUGAGUAUCCACAAGCAAUGGGCCUAAGUGGGGAGCUAUUUUCUAGGCGGACCAAUCCAGAACAUUUUGACUACAGGGUGAACGUAAAAGCGAUCAUCAACAAGACCAUGUCUUCACAGGCCCAAGCAGCACUGAAGAGUUGUGAUGAAAACAAGCUCAAUGGCUCUCUUUACCUUCAUUUUAAUGGAGGGGAUGUGCUGAUGCUGGAAGUUGAUAUGAACAAAGAAAAUAGGAAGAAUGCUAGAGGUGUUGAACUGAGGGCUUUUCUCCACCAAGCAAUCCUUACAAGCCCUGAAUCAGUACAGCUCCAGCUCAUGUGCAAAAUGUUUCCAUCGAGACUUCUGAUAUCUUCUGUGAUAAAAUUUAAUGAGAAUGGGCUUCAUGUGGGAGCCCAUUUCAUGGGAGCCAGACAGCAGAAAGUUGGUUUUGUCUUGUCCCUAAAUGGAAGAGUCCAACACACGUUUUCUGGAUUCAAGACUAUACCUCAUCUCCUUUCUCUGAAUGGAUUACUAAAGCACAAAAACAACAUUCACAAUGGUAACAUCAAUUUGAUGAUCAACAAUGCACUGUAUGGAUUCCAUCUCAGGAGCAGAAAUGUGUUUGGGAACAUCACCAUACGCAAUAUCACUUUCACUAUGUUUCAGAAUGGCAGUCAGGCAAUCCCAGUGGAAGCAAAACUGACAGGACACCUGGAGCUGAGUAAAGAGAUGAAAAGAGGUCUAGUUAGCUUCCACAUGGAUGAGAAGGCCCUUUUUGUAGAUUUUUCCAAAGUCAUGAGUCAUGGACACAAUAGAGUCUCUGGGACUUUCACACAUAAUAUCAGCUCUUUAAACAAUGCAGGAUUGCCCUCAGAUGGCGUUCUCACCAUGAUAUAUGAACACGGAACAGGAAAUCACACCAUUACUGUAGUCCUGCAGAGCGGCAGUGAAAGAAUUUCCACUGUAUUUGGAGGUCACAGGCUGUCCACAGAACCUCCUAAAUCCCAUCUGUCUGUGAGCACAACGUCACAAAGAUAA
RNAcentral lists this long non-coding RNA (1235 nucleotides) under Anas platyrhynchos platyrhynchos (common mallard). RNAcentral describes it as "lncRNA (ENSAPLG00000020963.1)". The record is from RNAcentral. Lineage: Eukaryota; Metazoa; Chordata; Aves; Anseriformes; Anatidae.